CAGGAACCAGGGGAAACAAAACCAAUUCCACCCAGAGGUAAAUAAAAAUCAAAGAGCGUUCGAGGCAGCCGCAUUGACUCACCUUGCAGACAAGCAAGCAGAGCCGCAGAGCAGUGACCCGUGCCCAGCGCCUCGCAGCUAGAGCUGGAUUGGAAUCCAGGGCUUUGCAGGCUUCCUGCUUCACUCAAUCCUCUUUCUGUUGCCUCUGGCCUCAAGGUGUUGGCCUGGGAGGAAGUAGCAGAUUAAAUUCCAUGGGCACGAAGUCCGUAGCUGACGAAUACUUAAUAUGUUGCAGUUUCACAGUGAAAGUUGGCAAGUCCAGGGUGGGAACAUGCCCCAAGCAGCUGAGUCUUCUGGAUUUUACUUCUGUUCUUUGCCUCUCAAUUUUUGAUUUUGUUAUAUAAAAAGCAAAUCAGUAACUAUUGCAUUAUAUUCUGCAGUGACUCAACAGCGACACUUAAUUCAGCCAACCAAGGUUUACUGAACUGCUCGUGGUGCCGGGAACCGUGCUGGGAUAGGAUACAGGGACCAACCAGUCCUGAUCAUUAGCUUAGCCAGAGAGGUAAACUGACUGACAAUCAAUCUGCCAGGGAUCAAUUACUAUGGAAGCUCAUAGUGUGGGCCCCUAACCCAGACUGUGGGUCUGAGGAGGUCUCCUGGAGGUAGUGCUAUCCUAACAGAGACCUGAAGGGUACUUGGAAUCCAGCCACAGAAUACUAUUUACCAUCUCAUUUUACUC
Molecule: long non-coding RNA, 739 nt
Organism: Homo sapiens (human)
Lineage: Eukaryota; Metazoa; Chordata; Mammalia; Primates; Hominidae
Source: Ensembl